UUUUUUUUUUUUUAAGUUUAUAGCUACUCUGUGUCGUUUACCUGUUGAGUUUAUUUAUUUACUUAUUUAUUUCAGCUGGGACUUCAAUGUACCUUUCGACCAGGCAAAAUAGUGAUCAUCUGAUUUUUGGGGAAGCUUCUCAAAAUAAUUUUAUGGACGUCUACAUAGGACAGUUAAGGACUGAAUGUCUUUCCUAUAGAGAUUAUGAUGAUAUUAAAAUCAAAAAGUGCCAAACCCCAUCAUUUUGAAUAUACACCUAGGGUCACGCCGUUCAUGAGGCAAACAAGACUAAAAAUUGGUAAUUGAUUACAACAGGUAAGCUCCUCUGACAGAAGGCGUUUGGAGUCUUCAAAAGGUGCAGCUGAAAGAUCAAAUGUGAAAUUAAAGUUUAAUGAAGGUGAUGGUUGUUCCUCUACCCAUUUCCCCACCCCCCCCCGGGGGAUCAGAAGAUCAUUUAAUAAGGCUGUUUUUAUACACAAAUGCAACUUGUUUAUUUUGACCUCAGUUCUUCGAAAUUGUCGACGCCACACUGAAAUAUGCUGUGUGUUCCAACAAGGACCCAGCAGUCGUAAUGACAGACCAGCCCAUCUGUGCUGCGAGAAUGUAUAAUUUCAGUCUAUAGUGGAAUUUAUAUAGAAGCGAGAUCAUGUGAAAACUGAGAUGCGUGGUACUUUCUUCGAAAAAAAUAUCGCUACGUACUGGGUACCAUGGAGAAUGCUGAUAUUUUUGCCUGAUUAAAAAAACAAAACCAAACAAACAAACAAAAACCUCCAUGGAAUUUUACUGUUUGGGAAAGAUAAAGUGUUACGACCCGAGUUAAAAAACUAAGAUGAUAUUUGGUCUCAUCUAACUAUCCCAACUGCAUAAGAUGUAUGCUGGAAAAUGUAUUAUCCAGAUACAGUAAGACGAUUAGAGGAACAGAACCUCAGAGGAAGAUACUAAUUUAGAGGGAAAAUGCUCAUUUAUGGAGAUUAAUUGAUUUUAUGCUACCUGCCCCUACCCUGUCCAAAAAGACGGCGAGUUAACUCUCAGGAAAUGGGACUAUCGCUCCAGGAUUUAGAAUUAAAGGCCGAUUCACCAACAUUAAUUAUAACAAAAAAUAAAAUUAAAAAAAAAAGGAGGAGUGGGCAGCUCUGAGAAGUCUAAAUUCUUUCCAAAUGAUUACCCCCCUCCCCGCCCCCUCUACCAGCUUCUCUAGUCUCUCGACUCCUCUGCCUUUAGAAUUUAUGACACUCUGUUUCUUGCUAUUACUUUUAUUUUGCCACCAGUGUUUUAUUUGGUGCUUGCUAAAUAUUUGGGUGGAGUGAUCUUCCAGCUUGCAGCAGCAGAAUGUGGCUGUCAUAGUCAUGAAAAUGUUUUAAUUAUCUCUGCUACAGAGAUGCCUGUCUCUGCAGCCCCAAGUCCUCCAGUACCGACUGCUGUCUAAUCUAAGAACAAAAGCGGCCGCAGAUAUUCCUCGUGCGCUGAGCUCACUUUCAACAUUUGCUGGUGUCUGCUCCGGCCAGCCGGCGGCUCAGGCCGGCACACACAGGACCCGAACGCCUCUGAUGCCAGAAAAUAACCAAAAAACCUAUUUACGUGGGAAUUUUCCUCUGAGUUGCACCCCAGCACUUCCUGGGCCUGAUCUCCCAUGUUCUGUAAAUCAAGACCCUGGCUACCCUCGAACGUGGGGAACCCAGGCUGUGUCUGCGGGAGCUUUGUCAGCCUGCCAGAGGAGCGAGGUGAGCUUGGAGCUGCACUCUGCAAAGACCACGUCUUAAAUGAAAAGCUUCAGGGACCAACAGAGAAACGCGGGCAGCCAUGGACCCCAGUUCCUGGACAGCAGCGGCAGCGUGGCCUGGGGACUGACUCCCUGCCCGACGGUCCACCGUUCAGCCCUGGCCAGUCAGGAUGCCUGGGGCCACAGCUCUGCAGGUGGGAAACCAGGACAGGAUCAGGGCACAGGCAGGCCCUGGGACCACUCAGGGCCCCCGAGGGCUGGUCUGGUGGACGUGCCCCCCGUGAGCCGUCUGUGGGCAGGGCAGUUAUAAACCAGGCAGGGCAAGGCUAGCUGGAAGCCCCGGGCUUAAAUAAGUGCUUAAAAAAACAAAGCCCCAAACAACCGAAGAGAUUUCCCCCACACUGAGCUGAGCACCGAAAAGAGCUUCUUCUUCCCCCCCCGGCCCCCCCAAAAAUAAAAUAAAAGGGAGAAAGAACUGGAUUCCUAAACUUGUGGACAUGGCAGCAUUCAAGAUGCCGGAUGAAAUGAAAGGGCCUCUGUUUCUCAAAGCAGCACCCACCCUCCCGUGUGCCAGCCUGGCCCUGCCUGCCGAGGAGUUUGCUGGAAGGAGCAUGGAUGGUUCUGGUGUUUUUCCCUGUGCCACCCC
RNAcentral lists this long non-coding RNA (2366 nucleotides) under Sus scrofa (pig). Its description in RNAcentral is "lncRNA (ENSSSCG00005024756.1)". The record is from RNAcentral. Lineage: Eukaryota; Metazoa; Chordata; Mammalia; Artiodactyla; Suidae.